This 424-nucleotide long non-coding RNA is filed under the name Helianthus annuus (common sunflower). Its description in RNAcentral is "sRNA HanXRQr2_Chr07g0309061". Lineage: Eukaryota; Viridiplantae; Streptophyta; Magnoliopsida; Asterales; Asteraceae. The record is from RNAcentral.
UUCCACAAGAACCAAAAACAACUAUAAAAGACGUGUUCGGGAUUCCUCUAUCUGAAUAUCUCACCUUCUUUGAAAUAUAAAAACCUUCAAGUUGUACCGGUCCUGAAAUACUGUCCUUUGGCGAAGUUUGUUCUUCCGGCAACUAUCUAGCGUCACCGAUAAACCUCCGUUUCAUUUCAAAAGGAUUUCGCGAUCGUCUAGCCAUAAAUUGUUAUAUCAAGUCGAUCAUUGCUUAAGGUGAUCAAGAUUUCUGGGACAGGAUAAGGAAGAGUGUUCAAGUGUUUGGAAAAGACCGUAGAAACAAAUGUAUUGGAUUAGAUAUCCUAUUUCCAUUAAGUGGGAGAUUUCGAGAUCAAGACCACAAAAGGAGUUCGAGUUCCGGUUGCACGGUGAAGUGAUUUCAUUUGAAUUCUUGGAAUCUUAG